GACGAACGCUGGCGGCGUGCUUAACACAUGCAAGUCGAACGGAAAGGCUCCAGCUUGCUGGAGUACUCGAGUGGCGAACGGGUGAGUAACACGUGGGUAAUCUGCCCUGCACUCUGGGAUAAGCCUGGGAAACUGGGUCUAAUACUGGAUAUGACCUUUCUCCUUAUGGGGUUUGGUGGGAAGUUUUUCGGUGUAGGAUGAGCCCGCGGCCUAUCAGCUUGUUGGUGGGGUGAUGGCCUACCAAGGCGACGACGGGUAGCCGGCCUGAGAGGGUGAUCGGCCACAUUGGGACUGAGAUACGGCCCAGACUCCUACGGGAGGCAGCAGUGGGGAAUAUUGCACAAUGGGCGGAAGCCUGAUGCAGCGACGCCGCGUGAGGGAUGACGGCCUUCGGGUUGUAAACCUCUUUCAGCAGGGACGAAGCGUAAGUGACGGUACCUGCAGAAGAAGCACCGGCUAACUACGUG
RNAcentral lists this ribosomal RNA (467 nucleotides) under uncultured bacterium. RNAcentral's name for it is "partial 16S ribosomal RNA". It matches the Rfam family "Bacterial small subunit ribosomal RNA", at positions 28 to 507 of the family's 1533-position model. The record is from RNAcentral.